UAUAGUCGAGUUACUCACCCCUGCUAUAAGACUCGUAGUUAUUGAAUACACACUUUAGGAAUGGAAGUCAAAAGUUGACCUCACUGGUUUAAAUGAGAUCAGAACGUAAAGGAACAGCUGCCACUUAAUGCAGAAUACGAAACUAUGACGUGGUCUGGAGGAAAGGACAAUGGCCAUGACCUUUGCAUGCCCUCUGAAACAGGUGAAAAGACAAAAGAAUAGAAAGAUCACAAAUAGAAAGCCUUUGGUAACAGAUUCGUUCGUUCAGGAUUGAUCUGAGAAUAAGCAACAGCAACAGCAACAACAACAGUAGCACUUACUCUGUCGCACUGGAACGUUAAAAGUCAUUACACUGCAGCCAUGCUGGGGCACUGCCUUGAAGAAUUUUAAUCGAAUGAAUCGAUCCCGAGUACUUUUUCAAAGCCUGCUACUUAGUCUAUCGUUCUCUUUUACCGAACCGCUUAGUCACGAGAAUGUAAACACACCAACACCGGUUGUUAAGUGGUGGCGGGGAAACAAACACAGACACAAAGACACCCCUACAUCUUCCCACACACAAACACACACACACACACACACGUACAAACUCACACAUGCACACAUAUAUACAUAUAUUCAUAUGCGUAUGCAUGUAUACGAUUAUAAUAUAUAUAUUUCGUUUUUGGAUUUGGUUUGCAAGAUUUUUUAUGUGAUUUUGUGUGUUGAAGCAUAUUCUGUUGUGUCUGGGGAGAGUCAUUUUCUUAU
Octopus bimaculoides (California two-spot octopus) is the source of this 744-nucleotide long non-coding RNA. Lineage: Eukaryota; Metazoa; Mollusca; Cephalopoda; Octopoda; Octopodidae. The record is from RefSeq and is a predicted model, not a curated record.